This 305-nucleotide ribosomal RNA is filed under the name uncultured bacterium. RNAcentral's name for it is "bacterial SSU rRNA". It matches the Rfam family "Bacterial small subunit ribosomal RNA", at positions 335 to 657 of the family's 1533-position model. The record is from RNAcentral.
GUCCUACGGGAGGCAGCAGUGGGGGAUAUUGCACAAUGGGGGAAACCCUGAUGCAGCGACGCCGCGUGGGGGAAGACGGUCCUCUGGAUUGUAAACCACUGUCCCCAGGGACGAAGAUGGCGGUACCUGACCAAGAAGCCCCGGCUAACUCCGUGCCAGCAGCCGCGGUAAUACGGAGGGUGCGAGCGUUAAUCGGAAUUACUGGGCGUAAAGCGCUCGUAGGCGGUAUGUCAAGUCUAGGGUGAAAUCCCCGCGCUCAACGUGGGAACUGCCUUUGAAACUGGCAAACUGGAGUGUGUGAGAGG